AGAGUUUGAUUAUGGACUCAGAUUGAACGCUGGCGGCAGGCCUAACACAUGCAAGUCGAACGGUAACAGGAAGAAGCUUGCGUUCUUUGCUGACGAGUGGCGGACGGGUGAGUAAUGUCUGGGAAACUGCCUGAUGGAGGGGGAUAACUACUGGAAACGGUAGCUAAUACCGCAUAACGUCGCAAGACCAAAGAGGGGGACCUUCGGGCCUCUUGCCAUCGGAUGUGCCCAGAUGGGAUUAGCUAGUAGGUGGGGUAACGGCUCACCUAGGCGACGAUCCCUAGCUGGUCUGAGAGGAUGACCAGCCACACUGGAACUGAGACACGGUCCAGACUCCUACGGGAGGCAGCAGUGGGGAAUAUUGCACAAUGGGCGCAAGCCUGAUGCAGCCAUGCCGCGUGUAUGAAGAAGGCCUUCGGGUUGUAAAGUACUUUCAGCGGGGAGGAAGGGAGUAAAGUUAAUACCUUUGCUCAUUGACGUUACCCGCAGAAGAAGCACCGGCUAACUCCGUGCCAGCAGCCGCGGUAAUACGGAGGGUGCAAGCGUUAAUCGGAAUUACUGGGCGUAAAGCGCACGCAGGCGGUUUGUUAAGUCAGAUGUGAAAUCCCCGGGCUCAACCUGGGAACUGCAUCUGAUACUGGCAAGCUUGAGUCUCGUAGAGGGGGGUAGAAUUCCAGGUGUUAGCGGUGAAAUGCGUAGAGAUCUGGAGGAAUACCGGUGGCGAAGUCGGCCCCCUGGACGAAGACUGACGCUCAGGUGCGAAAGCGUGGGGAGCAAACAGGAUUAGAUACCUUGGUAGUCCACGCCGUAAACGAUGUCGACUUGGAGGUUGUGCCCUUGAGGCGUGGCUUCCGGAGCUAACGCGUUAAGUCGACCGCCUGGGGAGUACAGGCACGCAAGGUUAAACUCAAAGGAAUUGACGUAAGGGCGAAGUCGUUUAACCU
Molecule: ribosomal RNA, 944 nt
Filed under: uncultured Escherichia sp.
Lineage: Bacteria; Pseudomonadati; Pseudomonadota; Gammaproteobacteria; Enterobacterales; Enterobacteriaceae
Description: bacterial SSU rRNA
Rfam family: Bacterial small subunit ribosomal RNA
Source: RNAcentral